This 220-nucleotide ribosomal RNA is filed under the name uncultured bacterium. RNAcentral describes it as "partial 16S ribosomal RNA". It matches the Rfam family "Bacterial small subunit ribosomal RNA", at positions 28 to 248 of the family's 1533-position model. The record is from RNAcentral.
GACGAACGCUGGCGGCGUGCUUAACACAUGCAAGUCGAGCGGUAAGGCCCUUUCGGGGUACGACGAGCGGCGAACGAGUGAGUAACACGUGGGUGACCUGCCCUCAGCUCUGGGAGUAAGCCUGGGAAACCGGGUCUAAUACUGGAUAUGACUCCAUGACGCAUGUUGUGGGGUGGAAAGCCUUGUGCGGCUGAGGAUGGGCCCGCGGCCUAUCAGCUUG